This is a long non-coding RNA of Carcharodon carcharias (great white shark), 1096 nucleotides long. RefSeq lists it as uncharacterized. Lineage: Eukaryota; Metazoa; Chordata; Chondrichthyes; Lamniformes; Lamnidae. The transcript is spliced from 3 exons. The record is from RefSeq and is a predicted model, not a curated record.
AUUGAUUGGUUGGUAAGUAUAGGGCUUGCUGGAUUCGGCACAGAGGAAGCGAUUGGUGAGUGACAGCCCAUGUCUGGAUCAGUGAAUGUGUAGAGGAAAAUGGCAAUUACCUGUGUCGGUGGAGUAGACACGGAAACUCUUAUCCCAGAAGCCACAGACCAGGAUGAAGCGGUUAUCGGCAGUGAUCACGAAGCACUGGGAAUUGACCUGAAUGCUUUGAUCCAAGAGGCAAACCAACGAGGGAGAGUUGAUGAAAUACCAGCGAAUCCACAGCUCAUUGCAUUCCAAUUUGCAUGCAAAUGGUUUAUCAAGAAAAUUCCAUUCCCAACCACCAUGAGUGAAAAACAACAGUGAUCUUCACUUCAGCCCACUAUACAGGAUGUAAUGAAUUGCAGAAAGGAAAGCUGACACACCUAUCAGAGGAUCGAUUUCAACUGGCAGCUGGUAUGGCUGUUCCUGCAUUGCUCCAUGAAGGCCUAAAAUUGUAGAUAAAUAAGUAAAUUAGAUGUUACACAUGCUACACUGUGAAAAAAACGCCAUUUUUAUAUUGCUCCUUAUGUGCUUCAGAACUGUUUUUUAGUGGACAUAUUGGCUUUUGGGAUUUUGAUAUUUCAUUCUUCACUAUAUUAUGAUGAAGAUUCUAUUACUCAAAGAAAUGCUAGAUUGCACCUUUUCAAAAUAUUCUUUGGGGGAUUAAAAUUCUUUAGAUCUCCUGAUAAAAUCAUUUUCUUAUUCAGCUCAGCUUGUUUUUGAGGAGCAAACCUCAUCUGGUUCCCAGUUUUACUGCUCAUUGGUUUUUUGUUAUCACUGUGAAGAACAUAUUAUGCUGCUCAAAAAAUUUAAACAUGUAACUUAUUCUAAACUAAUUCAAUUAUAUUUUACAGUGAAAUAAAAAAAUUGCAUUAUUCUGAUACUAUCAUUUCCAAUCAAACAUUAGGACAUUGAAAUGUUAACAAAAUGUUUCAGUUUAAUCAUUACUGAUGUUAGAAUACAGCUGUCUGUUAACAUGUCAACAUGCACAGAACAAUAAUUCUGCAGACAAAGACUGAAUGGUAAAUCUAGGUGUUGUCACCAACAUCUCUAUACUCACCGGUAA